UCAUCCUGGCCCGCUUGCGGAAGACCGCAA
RNAcentral lists this small RNA (30 nucleotides) under Bombyx mori (domestic silkworm). RNAcentral describes it as "ovarian small RNA-26065". Lineage: Eukaryota; Metazoa; Arthropoda; Insecta; Lepidoptera; Bombycidae. The record is from RNAcentral.